AUUCUGUUUCAGGGCGAGGUGGAAAUCCUCACUGGCGGUAAGCACGGCGCCUGCGCGCGCCGGCAAGCCCGCGACCCUGUGCGAGAGCGCAGGCUGACCCGGUGAAAUUCCGGGGCCAACGGUUACAGUCCGGAUGGAAGAGGCAGACG
Molecule: non-coding RNA, 149 nt
Filed under: Adlercreutzia equolifaciens
Lineage: Bacteria; Bacillati; Actinomycetota; Coriobacteriia; Eggerthellales; Eggerthellaceae
Description: FMN sequence
Rfam family: FMN riboswitch aptamer (RFN element)
About the family: The RFN element is a highly conserved domain that is found frequently in the 5'-untranslated regions of prokaryotic mRNAs that encode for flavin mononucleotide (FMN) biosynthesis and transport proteins. This element is a metabolite-dependent riboswitch that directly binds FMN in the absence of proteins. In Bacillus subtilis, the riboswitch most likely controls gene expression by causing premature transcription termination within the 5' untranslated region of the ribDEAHT operon and precluding access to the ribosome-binding site of ypaA mRNA.
Source: RNAcentral